GAGACUUGCAGCACUUUCCUUCUUUUGAGGCUUGGGUGGUGCCUGUUCAUAACAUAGGGUCAUACCACCAGGCCAAGGCCUUGUGGUUUCAUAGGGUUAAAGUUGACAUAAUGUAUUUCCCACGUCAAGUGAAAAACGAAUAUUUCACAAGAGCACUGAAAAUUAUUAUAGUUCAAAUACAUCAUCCAAUUUAGGUUUGAUUUAUGUACGUAUAGUUUCCAAAUCCUAAUUCAGACUGCAGAAACCAUAUAUAUUCACAGGAACGUAACUGAAGGACAGAAAACACAUUAGCUAGGGUUUUAUGGAAUUAUCACAUCACAUCAAUGUCCUCAACAUCAAGCCAAUCAUUGGACUCCUUGGAUUCAGAGUUAGCAGCACUUACCUGCUCAGACCCCGCAUGUUUCACGCUGACAGGAUUAAUAUCCUUAACUGAGUCUGAAGAGCCUUUGCUCAACUGAACCCAAUCUCGUGAGUCUUUUGUUGAAGCAUCAGAACCCGAUGUUACUUUCUUAUAACUUGUAGGCACAUCUCCAUCAUCUUCUUCAAGAUCACUGAAUGAUACAUCCUCAUCAUUUCCGAUAUGCAUUGUGCUCCCACUUGUGCCUACCAUUUCUGAACUUUCAUCUUUCAACCAAUCAUCAGCAUCAUCCUCAAAUUUCUCAUCUAACACUUUAGAAGAGGAACUAGAUAGAUGUCGAUGUUUGGCCUGGUCAACUGAUUCCUCCUCAACCACAGCUUUGUCAAUAAUUUGCAUUUCAGUACUCAGAACUGGGUGCUUCUCUGUUUCUUGUUCAUCUACAAUACCAGAAGGAAUUGCUUCAUUUCCAGAUGUAUUGGCUAAAAUAGUGGGAUGGCCUACUUCAAUGCUGGAUGUCUUUAGAGGCACUGAUUCAUACUCAGCAUGAGAUGGCACAGAAAGAGACUCUUCAUGUGGUAAAUCAGCAGUUCCUGUCGAUCUACAAGUGCCAAUUCCUGACCAACCUGGCUUGGUUGCCUUAGCUUUGUUCUGCAACUCAUGUGACAACAUUGCCCUUGCUUCCACUAUCUGGGGAGUUGAAAGUAGCUCAGCAUCAUGUUUAAUGAGCCUAGGGUGCAGAAGUACAAAGUAAAUCUUCCAAAAGCAGCCCUCACUCAUAUAUCCUGGACAAAGUUCAAUUCGGAGAGCAGCUAACCUGGGGGCAAGACGUUCAACUGCCAAAGCAUGUUCUUGUUGGGCAUCAGACAUGUCAAAAUCAUCGAAAUCUUCAUUGUCAGGAACAGGAAAGUCAAGCCAAGUCUCUGGAUGCAUCGCGAUAUCCCUCGCAAAGGCUAUAACCUCCUCGGUCACACCGACAGCACUGCCAACCAAAUCCUCGUCAGUGAAAUCUUUUUCCGACCCAAUCUGGAGGAAAUUUGAUGCGAUUUUACUGAUCUCCGACACAUUCACGUUACUCGACAACUUAG
Molecule: unclassified non-coding RNA, 1443 nt
Filed under: Hevea brasiliensis (rubber tree)
Lineage: Eukaryota; Viridiplantae; Streptophyta; Magnoliopsida; Malpighiales; Euphorbiaceae
Source: RNAcentral